RNAcentral lists this ribosomal RNA (253 nucleotides) under uncultured bacterium. RNAcentral's name for it is "partial 16S ribosomal RNA". It matches the Rfam family "Bacterial small subunit ribosomal RNA", at positions 524 to 776 of the family's 1533-position model. The record is from RNAcentral.
UACAGAGACCUCAAACGUUAUCCGGAUUUAUUGGGCGUAAAGGGUCCGCAGGUGGCUUGAUUAGUCAGUGGUUAAAUUCCAGCGCUUAACGUUGGCACUGCCAUUGAUACUGUCAAGCUUGAGACCGGGAGAGGCAAGCGGAACUGCCGGUGUAGUCGUAAUAAGCGCUGAUAUCGGCAGGAACACCAAAGGCGAAGGCAGCUUGCUAGAACGGUUCUGACACUCAGGGACGAAAGCGUGGGGAGCGAAUAGG